RNAcentral lists this ribosomal RNA (499 nucleotides) under uncultured bacterium. RNAcentral describes it as "partial 16S ribosomal RNA". It matches the Rfam family "Bacterial small subunit ribosomal RNA", at positions 28 to 507 of the family's 1533-position model. The record is from RNAcentral.
GACGAACGCUGGCGGCGUGCCUAAUACAUGCAAGUCGAGCGAAGUUUUUCUGGUGCUUGCACUAGAAAAACUUAGCGGCGAACGGGUGAGUAACACGUAAAGAACCUGCCUCAUAGACUGGGACAACUAUUGGAAACGAUAGCUAAUACCGGAUAACAGUAUUUCUCGCAUGAGAGAUAUUUAAAAGUUGGUUAUGCUAACACUAUGAGAUGGCUUUGCGGUGCAUUAGCUAGUUGGUGGGGUAAAGGCCCACCAAGGCGACGAUGCAUAGCCGACCUGAGAGGGUGAUCGGCCACACUGGGACUGAGACACGGCCCAGACUCCUACGGGAGGCAGCAGUAGGGAAUCUUCCGCAAUGGGCGAAAGCCUGACGGAGCAACGCCGCGUGAGUGAAGAAGGAGUUCGGUUCGUAAAGCUCUGUUGUUAGGGAAGAAUGGAUAUGUAGUAACUAUACAUGUAAGAGACGGUACCUAAUCAGAAAGCCACGGCUAACUACGUG